Long non-coding RNA from Lepus europaeus (European hare), 1522 nucleotides. RefSeq lists it as uncharacterized. NCBI's taxonomy places the organism in Eukaryota, Metazoa, Chordata, Mammalia, Lagomorpha, Leporidae. The record is from RefSeq and is a predicted model, not a curated record. The transcript has 3 exons.
GACCUCGGGGGAACGGCCCCUUCGCCCAGGGACUGCACGCUCUGCAUGCCAGGCUCCACCCGGGCUCUGGGCCCUGCACCCAGGCCCCUGCGGCAGCCAUGCCUCAAAAUGCCUCAGGCGGAAGGGGGCCAGGGGCUGGUUCCUCCCCACCUGUGUCACACGUGCCCCUAACUCGCCUGCCUCAGACCAUGAGAUUUAGGUUGUCACCAAGAUCCACUUCACAGCCCGGCACUCUGCUCUUGGAGCCACUGCACGGCAGGUUCUAUGCCACGGACCCUGGAACCUCCAGGGCUGGGCACUGUCACACCCCACACGAGAGACCCCCAGUGUCUCCCGGGGCUGCAGCCUUGGGGCAGGCAGGCAGGGACCUCUUUGUCCCGAUGUCCACAAUGUCACUGAGAACCGAGAACAAAUCUUCAUUGUCGCGGCACUCAGGAGGCAACAGCAGCCAGUGGUUGGUGCUGCCCAGCCCUGCAGCAGAGCUGGGGAGGCCGGAGCCCGGGGCACUCCUUAGGCCUCCACAUUGGCCAGGUGAGCAAAGUGUCCCCGACACUGGCUGUCGUUCUCACAGCACCCACACCUGAGCUCCACGCUGCACCUCACACCACCUGCUCUUCCCGCCGGAACCUCGGGCGAGGAGGAGGAAGGCCAAGGCCGUAGGACGAAGGCUGCGGAGUCCAGACCGGUCCUUCACCAGUCUCAAGAACUGCAGGGCCCAGUAAGAACAGGGCCUGGUGUGGUGCCUCUGUCCGCAGCUGUGUGCCGGGGGCUCCAGGCUCCACUAUAGCAUGAAGCCAAGGGGACUUGACGGAGCUGCAGCCUCCGAACCUCCAGGGACCUCAUGGAAGGGCUUGGCCCCUCUGCCAGGGUGGCCGUGUCCUCAGGCCUCUGCCCCAAACACAAGAGGGGCCACAGCCCCUUCAGGUAGAGGAUGCUUUCCCUGGUCCUGUAGGCCCCGGGCCCCGGGCCCCAGGCAAGGUGUUGCCGAGGGGCUGACCCAGCCACUGUGGCCAGGGAAUGGUUUGGGAGGAGGAGAUGAGGUCACGGGAGUAACGGGGACAGGAGACUGGGGCCCUGUGGGCCGCCGCCACAGGACCAGGCUUUGCAGUCCGAGAUGGGAAGCCAUGGCCGGGGGAGCUGGAGCAUGGAGCUAAGCGCUGGUUCAGAUGGAGGAAGAGGAACGUGAUCGGCCCAAUUGCUUUCAUCAAGUAGAAAAGCAGACAAUACAUGGAGCAGCAACUUCCAGACAUGGGCAGCAGAGCGCACAGGAACCACGUCGGCUGUGAUCCAGUAGAGAAGCAGUGUUUGAUGACGCAAGAGAAAGCAGAGGGUGACUGCAGCGAGGUCCCCAGAGCCGCCAGGGGCGACGGCACCUAGAGCGGCAGUGGAGUGGAGGGGACGACCCUGGAAUCACCUACAAAGGGCAGAGCACCGGAUUACGUGACCCAGAGCUGCGCGUGGGGGAAGGGCCUGGGCCCCGGCCACGUCCUGUCCCCUGUGCCCUGAAGCACUGCUUUGAAGA